GACGAACGCUGGCGGCGUGCUUAACACAUGCAAGUCGAGCGGUAAGGCCCUUCGGGGUACACGAGCGGCGAACGGGUGAGUAACACGUGAGUAAUCUGCCCAUCACUUCGGGAUAACUCCGGGAAACCGGUGCUAAUACCGAAUAUGACCACUUCAGGCAUCUGAUGGUGGUGGAAAGUUCCGGCGGUGAUGGAUGAGCUCGCGGCCUAUCAGCUUGUUGGUGGGGUAGUGGCCUACCAAGGCUUCGACGGGUAGCCGGCCUGAGAGGGUGACCGGCCACACUGGGACUGAGACACGGCCCAGACUCCUACGGGAGGCGGCAGUGGGGAAUAUUGGACAAUGGGCGAAAGCCUGAUCCAGCAACGCCGCGUGAGGGAUGACGGCCUUCGGGUUGUAAACCUCUUUCAGCAGGGACGAAGCGCAAGUGACGGUACCUGCAGAAGAAGCACCGGCCAACUACGUG
RNAcentral lists this ribosomal RNA (463 nucleotides) under uncultured bacterium. Its description in RNAcentral is "partial 16S ribosomal RNA". It matches the Rfam family "Bacterial small subunit ribosomal RNA", at positions 28 to 507 of the family's 1533-position model. The record is from RNAcentral.